GAUGAACGCUGGCGGCGUGCCUAAUACAUGCAAGUCGAGCGAACAGACGAGGAGCUUGCUCCUUUGACGUUAGCGGCGGACGGGUGAGUAACACGUGGGUAACCUACCUAUAAGACUGGGAUAACUUCGGGAAACCGGAGCUAAUACCGGAUAAUAUUUCGAACCGCAUGGUUCGAUAGUGAAAGAUGGCUCUGCUAUCACUUAUAGAUGGACCUGCGCCGUAUUAGCUAGUUGGUAAGGUAACGGCUUACCAAGGCAACGAUACGUAGCCGACCUGAGAGGGUGAUCGGCCACACUGGAACUGAGACACGGUCCAGACUCCUACGGGAGGCAGCAGUAGGGAAUCUUCCGCAAUGGGCGAAAGCCUGACGGAGCAACGCCGCGUGAGUGAUGAAGGUCUUCGGAUCGUAAAACUCUGUUAUUAGGGAAGAACAAACGCGUAAGUAACUGUGCACGUCUUGACGGUACCUAAUCAGAAAGCCACGGCUAACUACGUG
This 497-nucleotide ribosomal RNA is filed under the name uncultured bacterium. Its description in RNAcentral is "partial 16S ribosomal RNA". It matches the Rfam family "Bacterial small subunit ribosomal RNA", at positions 28 to 507 of the family's 1533-position model. The record is from RNAcentral.